This is a microRNA precursor of Brassica oleracea var. oleracea, 127 nucleotides long. It matches the Rfam family "MIR9563 microRNA precursor family". The record is from Rfam. NCBI's taxonomy places the organism in Eukaryota, Viridiplantae, Streptophyta, Magnoliopsida, Brassicales, Brassicaceae.
GGGUUCUUAGCGGAACCCGUCUCUUAACUUUUAACUAAAAAAACUAAGAACUGGUUCUUAAAUAAGAGUUUUAAGAACCGGUUCUUAGCUUUUUAGUUAAAAAUUAAGAGACGGAUUCUUAUAUUCC